GACGAACGCUGGCGGCGUGCUUAACACAUGCCAGUCGAACGGAAAGGCCCUGCUUUUGUGGGGUGCUCGAGUGGCGAACGGGUGAGUAACACGUGAGUAACCUGCCCUUGACUUUGGGAUAACUUCAGGAAACUGGGGCUAAUACCGGAUAGGAGCUCCUGCUGCAUGGUGGGGGUUGGAAAGUUUCGGCGGUUGGGGAUCGACUCGCGGCUUAUCAGCUUGUUGGUGGGGUAGUGGCUUACCAAGGCUUUGACGGGUAGCCGGCCUGAGAGGGUGACCGGCCACAUUGGGACUGAGAUACGGCCCAGACUCCUACGGGAGGCAGCAGUGGGGAAUAUUGCACAAUGGGCGGAAGCCUGAUGCAGCAACGCCGCGUGCGGGAUGACGGCCUUCGGGUUGUAAACCGCUUUCGCCUGUGACGAAGCGUGAGUGACGGUAAUGGGUAAAGAAGCACCGGCUAACUACGUG
RNAcentral lists this ribosomal RNA (468 nucleotides) under uncultured bacterium. RNAcentral's name for it is "partial 16S ribosomal RNA". It matches the Rfam family "Bacterial small subunit ribosomal RNA", at positions 28 to 507 of the family's 1533-position model. The record is from RNAcentral.